Molecule: small nucleolar RNA, 138 nt
Filed under: Ornithorhynchus anatinus (platypus)
Lineage: Eukaryota; Metazoa; Chordata; Mammalia; Monotremata; Ornithorhynchidae
Source: RNAcentral
ACCCUCUCAGUGCUGCACCUGGAGAGUUUCCAGAACUCUACCAGUCUCAACUACAGAAGGGAGAGUCAAGCAGAGGCCUUCCUAUUCCAUUCGUAGCUUGGGCAAUAGCUGGUGAGUGGAAGGCAAUCUGCUACAAGU